Molecule: ribosomal RNA, 652 nt
Filed under: uncultured marine bacterium
Lineage: Bacteria
Description: bacterial SSU rRNA
Rfam family: Bacterial small subunit ribosomal RNA
Source: RNAcentral
GACGUUGGAAAUUUAUUUUCAGUGUCGCAGGGAAACCGAUAAACACACCGCCUGGGGAGUACGACCGCAAGGUUAAAACUCAAAUGAAUUGACGGGGACCCGCACAAGUAGUGGAGCAUGUGGUUUAAUUCGAAGAUACGCGCAGAACCUUACCAACACUUGACAUGUUCGUCGCGACUCUAAGAGAUUAGAGUUUUCGGUUCGGCCGGACGAAACACAGGUGCUGCAUGGCUGUCGUCAGCUCGUGUCGUGAGAUGUUGGGUUAAGUCCCGCAACGAGCGCAACCCUCACUUUUAGUUGCCAUCAUUAAGUUGGGCACUCUGAAAGAACUGCCAGUGAUAAGCUGGAGGAAGGUGGGGAUGACGUCAAGUCCUCAUGGCCCUUACGUGUUGGGCUACACACGUGCUACAAUGGCAUCUACAACAGGAAGCAAAACGGCAACGUUAAGCAAAUCCCGAAAAGAUGCCUCAGUUCGGAUUGCACUCUGCAACUCGAGUGCAUGAAGCUGGAAUUACUAGUAAUCGUGGAUCAGCGUGCCACGGUGAAUGCGUUCCCGGGUCUUGUACACACAGCCCGUCACACCAUGGGAGUUGGUUCUACCUUAAGGCAAGGUUUUAAACCCUUGACCACGGUAUAGUCAGCGACUGGGGUG